UACGGAGGGUGCGAGCGUUGUCCGGAAUCAUUGGGCGUAAAGGGCGCGUAGGUGGCCCGGUCAGUUCGUGGUGAAAGCGCGGGGCUCAACCCUGCGUCGGCCAUGAAUACUGCCGCGGCUGGAGCACUGUAGAGGCAGGCGGAAUUCCGGGUGUAGCGGUGGAAUGCGUAGAGAUCCGGAAGAACACCGGUGGCGAAGGCGGCCUGCUGGGCAGUGCUGACACUGAGGCGCGGACAGCGUGGGAGCAACAGG
RNAcentral lists this ribosomal RNA (252 nucleotides) under uncultured bacterium. RNAcentral's name for it is "partial 16S ribosomal RNA". It matches the Rfam family "Bacterial small subunit ribosomal RNA", at positions 524 to 775 of the family's 1533-position model. The record is from RNAcentral.